GUGAAUUUUGCGAAAACAAAUUAACAAGUGCGAAAAUACCAUACAAAAGCACUUCCCAUUACUAAAUUUGUUUAUUUUAUAGAUACUGAUAUUUUCUAUUAAAUGGAUUGCCUUUAUUUAACGUAAUUUGGUUCAUUCAAAAGCCAAGGGCCAUGCAAAGUCAAGAUAAAGCACUGCAAAGUGCAAACAAAACUUCAUUUUGGCAUUGUAUAUUUUCUUUAAAUCACUUGUAAAGGACUUUACUCUCAAACUAAAUUUGACAUCAAUACAUAGUCAACAAGGCCUAGAACACUAUAACAAACAAUAUUUUUUCGUUUAACUAAGAGAAAAAUAAUAAUUCGUUUCAAAAACUAAAUAUAAUGCAACUUACAUCGCUGUUGUUUUCGUGCAACUGACAUGAUAUUUUUUGUGUCUUUCGUAUUCCUUUUCAAAAAAUAGAUUCAUAUUUGUCUUUUGUAGUGUUAUAAAUCUUUUGCAAACAUACGAGUUAAAUUGUCCAAUUCAAAUUAAAAAUUGACUUUAAACAGCAAGAAAAAGGCAGCAAACUAAAUAAAAUUCUGCCAAAAGCAUUGCCGACAGUGAACGAAUUCGCUCGUACGUAAACAAUUGGGCGAAACGUUUUUCACACGUGUGAAAUAAUCGUUUCGCGUUUCAGAUCGGUUGACGUUAAUCUUGAAAGGGCUUUUCACAUUAAUAAAACCGUGCGUAAAUAUCAGUAUCUAUAUAAUAAAGGUAACUUUCGUAAUAAUAUACAUAAAAAUAUUACUUGAUUGUGAUUGGUUGAUUUCAGUGCAGUUAAUCCCUUUUCUGUAAUCACAGUGCAAUUUUCUGUGAUCACAGUGCAAUUUUCUGUGAUCACAGUGCAAUUUUCUGUAACAAACUGAUCUGAUUGGUGGAAAAACAUGAUGAUGAUAAAAUCAACCAGUGAGUUUAAAGCAAUUUAGUUUAAAGAAGUAACGGUCACAGAUUGCUUCAAAACAAAACGAACAUGGCGCCGCGCUACAUAAAGUAAAAGUUGACUUCGCGUAGAAAAUAUGGCUUUUAUCUUUAUUUUUAAAUGGAAAAGCCUUUACCUUAGACAAGACAAACAAACAUUCCACUGUUGAGUGGGAUUUUGCAAGCUGUUAGCGUUGUAUAAUGUGAUAUAACAAAGCUGGGAAAACUUUGCCAGUGGAAUGUUCGCUAUAAACGCGUAAGUUAAAAAUACAAUUGUCUCGAACAUUUUUAUGUAAAUUAUUAACAUUUUUACGUAAAUUAUUAAUAAUAGUUGUAUCCAAAUUGCACUCGAAACCAUGCUGUUAACUAUACUAAAACAUUGCUAUUGGUUAGUUGGGCAAAAACACAAUACGCACGUGACGGUGAAGGACCUGAUUUAUGAAUAAACGUUGACUAACAUAGAUAAUAGUUAUAUUGUUAUUCUAAUGGUUUCCAAACCGUCUAUUUUAUUAACUAUGGUUUUGUAGAAGUUCAUGCUUCACAUAAUAAAACUGUUCAAGUUUGGAUGAACAAUUUUGCUGGAAUUGUUUUAUACUGUGCCAUUCAGUCAGUAUAGAAUGGUUGUUUAAUUAGUCAGUGAAGUUAUUUUAUAUUUGUAAUUUACUGUAGUGAGGUAUUUUAAUCAGUGAUUUUAUGGUAAUUGUGUUGACCACGAUAUAGCCAAUGAUCAGAGAAAUACAACCAGUUUGAUUUCCUAAUAAUAAAUAAUUCAUGUAUAAUUUAAAUCGAAUAAAUAAUUUCUUGGGACAAUUGUCUAUAAUGAGUGUCAGAGUGCGAGGGAAGAUGAAAAACGUCCAGUUCGUGUAUUUGUAGUUUUCAAAUUGUGUGUUCGUGUAUUUGUAGUUUUCAAAUUGUGUGUUCGUGUAUUUGUAGUUUUCAAAUUGUGUGUUCGUGUAUUUGUAGUUUUCAAAUACAUUUUUCCCAUUUUGUUUUUCUUUUUCUCUUCUUUCUUAUUUCCACAUUUUCUUUUUUAUUGCCGCAAAAUCCCUUGUUUUCUUGAAAAUGUAACCCCUUGUUUUCGUUUAAUUUGCUAAAGGAAUUGUUUUGGAAGAGGAGUAAAAUUCCAGCCUCAAAUAAUCAGGAAAUGAACAAGAAAUGCAGACGUUUCUGUUUUCUUGUACUUAUGCUUGUCUUUAUAUCGUUGACGAUUUCUAGGAUUGACAAUCCUUCAGGAAUUGGUAUUUGUUCUGUCCUUAUGUAAGUCCUGUCAUCUCUUGUACUUCAUCUCUUGUACUUCAUUCGAAUAUAAAUGUAUUUAAAUGGAAGCUUCGGAUUGAUAUAGGGGUGCAACUGCCCGAAAAAUACAAGGAGAACUUCGACGUUUCGAGCGAAGGCCCUUCUUCGUCGGGAAGUUACUAUAUAUAAAUGGCUAUAUAUAUAUAUAUAUAUAUAUAUAUAUAUAUAUAUAUAUAUAUAUAUAUAUAUAUAUAUAUAUAUAUAUAUAUAUAUAUAUAUAUAUAUAUAUAUAUAUAUAUAUAUAUAUAUCGUGAGACGAAUAAGCAACUCUUUUGAUUGUAAACUUUUCUCAAGCAAUGUAAAACAUUGUCCCAAUAUCAUGAACAUUUACAUUUGAAUAAAUUUCAUGAAACGUAACCAGGAAUAUUGAUUCAAAUACGACAAUUCGGACUUUACAGGAUAUCCUGCUGUCCUUGCAAUUAAUUAAUUAGAUCACAAAUGACUUACUAUAGUAUGAUCACAAAUGACUUACUAUAAUAAUAAGAAAUUUAUAGGUUUGAAAGUUGACGAAAUUAUAUGCUAAUUAAGAUCACCAGGGGUGGAAAAUAUAGCGGACCAAUGGUUCCAGAAAAUAUUUUUUGCUGGCAGAAAGAAAAAAAGGAAGGAAGAAAAAGGGGGAAAGAAAGAAAAGCAAAGAAAGAAAAAAAGGAAGGGCAGAAAAAGAAUAGAAAGAAAGAGACUAACUCAUAGAUAUCUUAUAUACACUAGAUAGCGCAUCUCUUUUAAUAAAAUUGAAGCCAAGAAUAUCCCAGCGGUUACUCCCAUUUGAAUAGAUGGCGGCCAUAUUGGUCGUUCCCACUUGCUAAUAAACGCUUAAAAACAACAAUAACUUUCAUCAUUUGAAUAGUUUAAAAAUGUAUUUGGAAUAGGUUUAACUUAAUGUUUAAGUUCCCUGUUUAAGAAAUAGAAAACAUACGAAUCUUCUCAUUUCAUGGGAACGACCUGAGACUGCAAUCACGGCUUCAAUUUUUGAAUUGCAGAAUAAUUAGAUGCACUAUCUAGUGUAUAUAAGAUAUCUAUGGACUAACUGCACCAAUAAGUAGCCAUUUUGUUCAGGGACAGACACUAGGUGUAGGGGGUGCCCCCAAAAUAAUUUCUGAAAGAACUUUGAUAGCGUAAUGUAGCCGCAUUUGCAGGCAACAUUGUUCUACCCCUUUGGCCCUUUGUUGGCUUUGUAUCAUACCACUGUCUUACCUUAUUAGCAUGACUUUACAUACACGUAUUUAGUAUUGCUUAUUAGUUGGUAUAAAUAUCUGCAAAUGCAAAAUGUUUUGUGGUAGUAUGACAUACUGUCCAUAUCGAGUAAUACAAGAAAUACAAAUGAAGUUAUUGAUAUAAAGGAAGACUUACUUUACAGAUGAGUACCCUAUUUACGGCGUAUAAUUGAAGAAGUUUGGGUUAGUUAAACAGCCUAUUGACUGUCAGCAUUCAUGAUUUCAAGGCAUUUAGAUCUUCAAGGCAUUUAGAUCGACGAACUUUUUCGUCGCUUGGCGUAAGAAUAACAAAGUCUGCGAGCAGGCUAUUUAGAUCUCUUCUCAAACCAGAAAGAGAUAAAUUUCGAUAAUUUUAUCACAGUUUCGUCAGUUGAUUUCAUUAUCUUAACUGGUAAACUGUGUUCAUUAGAUCUGCUUAUGAUCUGCUUCAUUGGUGGGAUCACAUUCCAAGUAAUUUAAAAAGUAUUCCCAAAGACUUAGGCUUCACAGGAAGUGAUGUUCCAUUUCAAUUUCUCCCGAGUCCUGACUGGCAGACCUUGCAUACUCUGUCUUCUUGUCUGAUAAACAAAAUAUGGAAUUUAUUUUUCCCCAAAGUGUCUGCCAUUGUUUAUAUUAUAUAAAACACAACUAAAGGCAAUCAUAGUUAAUAGAAAAUAAACAUCGUUAGGAAGAUUGAUAAACUUCAAGUAGUUUCCUAACCAAACUUCAAUUGAUGUUGAAAACUUGAAAUGUACCUGAAAGUACACAAUUUGUUGAUCAAUACUAAAAUCUUACGGUUGAAGUCUGAGGUUUCCAUUGGGCAAUUGCUUCAUUAUCUAGAACAAAAUGUUCACUCACUGUGAAAGUGCACAAAUUUCCAUAAAGGCGAACAAAAGCAUAGAACUUACAAUACCUUUUGUCCAGCUUCCAAAUCACAUUUGUUUUCAGACUACUAAUUAUGAUGCAACUAUUAAUAAAGUUUAGAACCGCUUUCCAAUUUUCACAAAUUCACAGUCUUUCCUCACUUGUUUAUUUCAAUUAAAUCCUUUCCUCAGCUGCUUUAUGAAAGAAAAUCUUGUAGGACUGCCACAGCUUUUAUAUGGUACUAUGGUUAUUUAAUAAUUCUUAAGUCUUAUUUGUCCUCUUUGCAAGUGAGCCUUUACAGUGCGUCUACUGUAAGUGGGGCCACUUAGAGAACACUAACCAAUCACAUUGCAGAACAGAAAGUGAAAAAAUCAACAAACGGCGCAUUAGCCAAUCAGCAUUAGGGCAAAAACAAUUCGAACAAAUAAACGAAUGUCAAACGGUAAAAGUAGACAUGUAAAAGUAAACAUUGCAGUUAAUGGCUUCCUGAAUCUUUCUUUUGAUUGGACGAGCUUUAGUUUGAUUAGAUUUUUCUUUCUGUUCUGCAAUGCGAUUGGUUAGUGUUCUCUAAGUGGCCCCACUUACAGUAGACGCACUGUAAUUAAUUUAAAUUAUACAUGACUUGUGUCGACAACUCGCAGAAAAUUUUCCCACUUCGUUGCGGCCCCAGAAAAUAAAAUAUUUUUUCCACCCCUAAGAUCACAUAUCCAGUUGCCGUCACUGCAUGUUGUGAUUUCCAAUGUUUAUCGCUUAUUGUUAUGUCCCCGCCAAAACCUACAGAGUAGCAGUCGAGAGCUCCUACAGUACUCAGUUGUUUAAAUUAUGUAUGAGGGCAUCUAAUAACGUUAUUACAAUAUAUUAGAGAAGAAUAUGUAGUACGAAAUUUUUGGAAGCGUGUCAGUCCUAGUAGUCGUAACAUCGUUACAUCACACCUCGUGACAAUUGCCAAUUGGCCCAGGAUGGCUUUGAAACGUAUGAAGGCAGGAAGUAACGAUAGAGGUUGAAGAAAAAGGAUAGGAUGAGGUAAACAAGAAGUAGAAAAUAUAAUGUCUAGCUAGACAACAGCAAGUGUUCACAGGUAACUCAAAGUACUUUAAAUCGUCUCACGUCUGUUUGCAUUGUAAAGCCUGCGAAUACACAAUUCCAGCUAUCGACUUUUUUUAUCUAGACAAGAAAGACGAAAUAUAUCAUUAGCUCAAAACAGCAUCCUAAAAUUAGUAAAAUUGCAAAGUUUGGUUGCGAAAUGUUGUAAAAUACGGAAAGUACAGCUCUGCAAAUUUUAGUAUUACUCGCGGUAAAAAUAUAAACCAUUAGCCGAAAGUUUUAGUAUUAUCGUAAAAAUUAACCAUUUUUGAGCCGAAAGUGGUUAUUUUUACCGCACGUAAUACUAAUACUAAAAUACUUAAAAUUUGCUAAUUUCACAGAGCUAUAUUUUCCGUAUUUUAUAACAUUUCGCAACCAAACUUUGCAAUUUUACUAAUUUUAGGAUGCUCUUUUGAGCUAUAAUGAUAUAUUUCGUCUUUCUUGUCUAGAUAAAAAGUUAGUCGAUAGCUGGAAUUGUCCAUUAUGCUGUUUUCGUAAAAAUAGAUACAAUGUCAAUGAAGUAAGUUACACUUGGUCUUGGUUAAGAAAAGGGAAGAUUUCCACUCUUCAAAGUCUGGAAAACACAUUUUGCUCUUUCUAUACAUUUAAUCGAUGAGCCAUGCACGGAACUUCAGAUCGCAAUGCAAGCUAAGCCCUAAGUUGCUAUGAGAGUUCAGUGAAUGAAGAUAUCAACAACGACACAAUGCCUAAAAUCAGUAUAACUUGUAGUAUAUACAAAAAACAUGAAAUAAAAUUACAAUUAAAUGAAUUGAUAAUUAUUUUGUUCUAUGCAUGACUAGGCCUAUGGGAUUGUCAUCAAGAGUUAUCUUGGAAUCCUGAUGUUUCCUACCAUCUUAAUCCUGCUCUUUCCCUAACAGCAGGUGCACAGGUAAGAUGUAUAUAUAGUUAUAGGCACGGAUCUUAAUAAAGGCAUAUGUGACAUAGCUAGGCUUGUGUAAGUUUUAUACCACAAUGGCAAUGCAAGAUAUUAAGUAUACGAGCCAUAUGACAAUAGUUCUUUUGGGUAGUAGCUCAGUUUAUUAUUCAGUUAAAUUAUGAUUUUAUUUUUUACAAAGAUCAAGGUCGGGAAUAAACAACUCUGCGUUUGAAUAUACCAGUUCAAACUUACGUCAUUACAGUUGAGUUAUAUAUAUAUAGUAUGACAACGUGCGCCCUCACGUUCACUCCCUAAUGUAAGGAAUGUGCAGAUUUUGAAGUUUAUUCGGCAUGUUAUGCAGGGUGUGUUAUAGACCACCUAAUAACUCUCUAGAAGAAACAGGGACUCCCGUCCUGUAGUCCUUACCAUCAGUC
This 6683-nucleotide long non-coding RNA is filed under the name Paramuricea clavata. Lineage: Eukaryota; Metazoa; Cnidaria; Anthozoa; Malacalcyonacea; Plexauridae. The record is from RNAcentral.